GGCGCUGUGGCUUAGUGGGUAAAGCAACUUCCUGCAGUGCCGGCAUUCCCAUAUGGUCCUGAUUCGAGUCCUGGCUGCUCCA
Molecule: transfer RNA, 82 nt
Filed under: Oryctolagus cuniculus (rabbit)
Lineage: Eukaryota; Metazoa; Chordata; Mammalia; Lagomorpha; Leporidae
Rfam family: tRNA
About the family: Transfer RNA (tRNA) molecules are approximately 80 nucleotides in length. Their secondary structure includes four short double-helical elements and three loops (D, anti-codon, and T loops). Further hydrogen bonds mediate the characteristic L-shaped molecular structure. tRNAs have two regions of fundamental functional importance: the anti-codon, which is responsible for specific mRNA codon recognition, and the 3' end, to which the tRNAs corresponding amino acid is attached (by aminoacyl-tRNA synthetases). tRNAs cope with the degeneracy of the genetic code in two manners: having more than one tRNA (with a specific anti-codon) for a particular amino acid; and 'wobble' base-pairing, i.e. permitting non-standard base-pairing at the 3rd anti-codon position.
Source: Rfam by way of RNAcentral